Erinaceus europaeus (western European hedgehog) is the source of this 1282-nucleotide long non-coding RNA. RefSeq lists it as uncharacterized. The transcript has 3 exons. The record is from RefSeq and is a predicted model, not a curated record. NCBI's taxonomy places the organism in Eukaryota, Metazoa, Chordata, Mammalia, Eulipotyphla, Erinaceidae.
CAGGAAUGGAACCUCAUACAUGCAUAAUUCCACUGUUCUCCAGAGCCUAUAUUUUUCUUUCUUUUUUGAAAGCUCAACAUUUUACGGAGUUCCUGCAAUACUGGUACAUGGUGUUUUCCUGUGUAACACAGCUUUGACAUCUACCUCAAUGUGGCAGUUUCAGAGAAAAAGUCAGUAUGUGAGAGGCUCCUCGUGAAAUAGAUCUUUGCACAUCACAUGCUAGACAAAGGGCUAGUAACCAAACUUUAUGAAGAACUCACCAGAACAUGAAGAGAGGAUUAUGAGCAGAAUUUUUACCAAGGAUAUCUGUGUAUACCUAUGUUCAUAGCAGCAUGAUUUGUAAUAGCCCAAACUUGGAAGCAACCAAGCUAUCCGACAACAGAUGAGUGACUGAAAAAGUUGUGGUGCAUAUACACAAUGGAAUACUACUCAGCUGUUCAGAAAAGGUUUGUAAAAGACACCAUGUUGCAGAUGGUACCAUGAUGCCAACCUGACUUCCUUGGGCAGAGGACCUUACCAAUGUGUCCUGGAACCUCACCUCUCCAGAGCCCUGCCCAACUAGGAAAAGAUAGAAACAGGCUGGGAGUAUGGAUCAAUUUGUCAAUGCCCAUGUUCAGCAGUGAAGCAAUUACAGAAGACAGACCCUCCACCUUCUACACCCUGCAAUGAUCCUGGAUCCAUGCUCCCAGUAUAAAUAAAACUAGUUACUGGGAUGUAGUGUCAGAAAACACUUUAUUUAUCUUCUGAGGCACUUUCUUUGCCUCAAGCCCCCUUCAUAUGUAUUGAAAUUCAAAACUAUACUGGGGGUUGGAGACUGUAUAUUAGACAGGAAGGGGUUAGGGAAGGCAGAAAAAAAGUUCUGUUCCCAGUUUAUUUAUGAUGGCAGGGACUGACUCUCUCUAAAGAGAAAACUGAGAAGUUAUCACUGGUGCCUAUGCUCCUCCACUAGUCAGUCAUUAUUUUCUUUUCUUGUGAUAGAGGAUGAGAAACAGAGAGAUAGAGACGUCUGUUGCAGGGUUCCAGAGCAGAUGGGGACCCAGGAGCUUGAAUCCAGGUCCUUGACUAUGGUAAUGUGUACUCAACCAGGUACACCAUUACUUGGUAGCUGCAUUAUAAAUUUUUAAAGGAAACAUUUUUUGGAACUGAAAAAAACUUUAUUUACUGAAGUACAUUGGUUUAUAGUGGUGUUAUGUUAUAGGAAUACAGUUUCAUAUCUUUUCAAAUGCAUGUUACCUCACCAUGCCAACAACUAAAGCACCAAUAUCCUCUCAGUAAACAUUAA